CCUACGGGGGGCAGCAGUGAGGAAUAUUGGUCAAUGGACGAGAGUCUGAACCAGCCAAGUAGCGUGAAGGAUGACUGCCCUAUGGGUUGUAAACUUCUUUUAUAUGGGAAUAAAAUGUUCCACGUGUGGGAUUUUGUAUGUACCAUAUGAAUAAGGAUCGGCUAACUCCGUGCCAGCAGCCGCGGUAAUACGGAUGAUCCGAGCGUUAUCCGGAUUUAUUGGGUUUAAAGGGAGCGUAGGUGGAUUGUUAAGUCAGUUGUGAAAGUUUGCGGCUCAACCGUAAAAUUGCAGUUGAAACUGGCAGUCUUGAGUACAGUAGAGGUGGGCGGAAUUCGUGGUGUAGCGGUGAAAUGCUUAGAUAUCACGAAGAACUCCGAUUGCGAAGGCAGUUCACUGGACUGCAACUGACACUGAGGCUCGAAAGUGUGGGUAUCAAACAGGAUUAGAUACCCGGGUAGUC
RNAcentral lists this ribosomal RNA (460 nucleotides) under uncultured bacterium. RNAcentral's name for it is "partial 16S ribosomal RNA". It matches the Rfam family "Bacterial small subunit ribosomal RNA", at positions 338 to 795 of the family's 1533-position model. The record is from RNAcentral.